UGGGGAAUAUUGCACAAUGGGCGCAAGCCUGAUGCAGCCAUGCCGCGUGUAUGAAGAAGGCCUUCGGGUUGUAAAGUACUUUCAGCGGGGAGGAAGGGAGUAAAGUUAAUACCUUUGCUCAUUGACGUUAGCCGCAGAAGAAGCACCGGCUAACUCCGUGCCAGCAGCCGCGGUAAUACGGAGGGUGCAAGCGUUAAUCGGAAUUACUGGGCGUAAAGCGCACGCAGGCGGUUUGUUAAGUCAGAUGUGAAAUCCCCGGGCUCAACCUGGGAACUGCAUCUGAUACUGGCAAGCUUGAGUCUCGUAGAGGGGGGUAGAAUUCCAGGUGUAGCGGUGAAAUGCGUAGAGAUCUGGAGGAAUACCGGUGGCGAAGGCGGCCCCCUGGACGAAGACUGACGCUCAGGUGCGAAAGCGUGGGGAGCAAACAGG
This 429-nucleotide ribosomal RNA is filed under the name Fusobacteriota bacterium. RNAcentral's name for it is "Fusobacteria bacterium partial 16S ribosomal RNA". It matches the Rfam family "Bacterial small subunit ribosomal RNA", at positions 355 to 776 of the family's 1533-position model. The record is from RNAcentral. Lineage: Bacteria; Fusobacteriati; Fusobacteriota.